This is a non-coding RNA of Pan troglodytes (chimpanzee), 148 nucleotides long. It matches the Rfam family "Metazoan signal recognition particle RNA". From Rfam's summary of the family: The signal recognition particle (SRP) is a universally conserved ribonucleoprotein. It is involved in the co-translational targeting of proteins to membranes. The eukaryotic SRP consists of a 300-nucleotide 7S RNA and six proteins: SRPs 72, 68, 54, 19, 14, and 9. The record is from Rfam. Lineage: Eukaryota; Metazoa; Chordata; Mammalia; Primates; Hominidae.
GCCAGGCGUGGUGGUGCAUGCCUGUAAUUCCAGCUACUUUGGAGGCUGAGGCAGGGGAAUCACUUGAGCCAAGGAGGCGGAGGUUGCAGUGAGCCGAGAUAGCGCCACUGCACUCCAGCCUGGGCGAUAGAGUGAGACUCUGUCUCAU